Molecule: ribosomal RNA, 253 nt
Filed under: uncultured bacterium
Lineage: Bacteria
Description: partial 16S ribosomal RNA
Rfam family: Bacterial small subunit ribosomal RNA
Source: RNAcentral
UACGUAGGUGGCAAGCGUUGUUCGGAAUCAUUGGGCGUAAAGAGCGUGUAGGCGGCCAGAUAAGUCCGCUGUGAAAACUCGAGGCUCAACUUCGAGCUGUCGGUGGAAACUAUUUGGCUAGAGUCCGGAAGAGGAGAGUGGAAUUCCUGGUGUAGCGGUGAAAUGCGCAGAUAUCAGGAAGAACACCCGUGGCGAAGGCGGCUCUCUGGGACGGUACUGACGCUGAGGAGCGAAAGCCAGGGGAGCAAACGGG